GACAGAGGGUGCAAACGUUGCUCGGAAUCACUGGGCGUAAAGGGCGUGUAGGCGGGAAGGCAAGUCAGAUGUGAAAUCCCUGGGCUCAACCCAGGAACUGCAUUUGAAACUCCCUUUCUUGAGUGUCGGAGAGGAAAGCGGAAUUCCUGGUGUAGAGGUGAAAUUCGUAGAUAUCAGGAGGAACACCGGUGGCGAAGGCGGCUUUCUGGACGACAACUGACGCUGAGACGCGAAAGCGUGGGGAGCAAACAGG
Molecule: ribosomal RNA, 253 nt
Filed under: uncultured bacterium
Lineage: Bacteria
Description: partial 16S ribosomal RNA
Rfam family: Bacterial small subunit ribosomal RNA
Source: RNAcentral